Molecule: ribosomal RNA, 465 nt
Filed under: Vreelandella stevensii
Lineage: Bacteria; Pseudomonadati; Pseudomonadota; Gammaproteobacteria; Oceanospirillales; Halomonadaceae
Description: partial 16S ribosomal RNA
Rfam family: Bacterial small subunit ribosomal RNA
Source: RNAcentral
CCUACGGGGGGCUGCAGUGGGGAAUAUUGGACAAUGGGGGCAACCCUGAUCCAGCCAUGCCGCGUGUGUGAAUAAGGCCCUCGGGUUGUAAAGCACUUUCAGUGAGGAAGAACGCCUGGUGGUUAAUACCCAUCAGGAAAGACAUCACUCACAGAAGAAGCACCGGCUAACUCCGUGCCAGCAGCCGCGGUAAUACGGAGGGUGCGAGCGUUAAUCGGAAUUACUGGGCGUAAAGCGCGCGUAGGUGGCUUGAUAAGCCGGUUGUGAAAGCCCCGGGCUCAACCUGGGAACGGCAUCCGGAACUGUCAAGCUAGAGUGCAGGAGAGGAAGGUAGAAUUCCCGGUGUAGCGGUGAAAUGCGUAGAGAUCGGGAGGAAUACCAGUGGCGAAGGCGGCCUUCUGGACUGACACUGACACUGAGGUGCGAAAGCGUGGGUAGCAAACAGGAUUAGAUACCCUAGUAGUC